CAAGGAAUUUUCGUCAAUGGGGGAGCCCUGAACGAGCAACGCCGCGUGGGCGAAGAAGUCCUUCGGAUGUAAAGCCCUUUCCUGUGAGAAGGAAAGACGUAGCAGGGAAUAAGCAUCGGCUAACUACGUGCCAGCAGCCGCGGUAAUACGUAGGAUGCAAGCGUUGUCCGGAAUUAUUGGGCGUAAAGAGCGCGCAGGCGGUCUGUCAAGUCAGAUGUGAAAGGGGCCGGCUUAACCGGCAAGAGUCAUUUGAAACUGACCGACUAGAGUGCAGCAGAGGAUAGCGGAAUUCCCGGUGUAGUGGUGAAAUGCGUAGAUAUCGGGAGGAACACCAGUGGCGAAGGCGGCUAUCUGGGGUGCAACUGACGCUGAGGCGCGAAGGCUAGGGUAGCAAACAGGAUUAGAUACCC
Molecule: ribosomal RNA, 410 nt
Filed under: uncultured bacterium
Lineage: Bacteria
Description: bacterial SSU rRNA
Rfam family: Bacterial small subunit ribosomal RNA
Source: RNAcentral